Molecule: long non-coding RNA, 343 nt
Filed under: Gopherus agassizii (Agassiz's desert tortoise)
Lineage: Eukaryota; Metazoa; Chordata; Testudines; Testudinidae
Description: lncRNA (ENSGAGG00000025770.1)
Source: RNAcentral
CUGAAGGCAACACAGUCACUUCACAGCUCCCUUUAAAGCCAGCCUCAGAGAGGAAGCUAAAAGAGAACUCCCCCAAAGUGCCCAGUCUGCACGACCUGCUCAUGAUGGAAAUAAAACAGCCACAGAAGCUUCGGCCAUCUUCCACAGAGAGAAAUGGGAGCAGGCACAAAGAUACCUUUGUGAUUCCAGUGUUUUCCUUGAAUUCCCCAUGUGGCAAUGGCUUAUCUGUCCAAAAUGCCAGUACAGGACUUACAAUUCACAAAGUCCAAAAACAGAUGCUGAUCCCUGACUUGCUGGUCCCAGAAUUUCAGGAAGCAGACGGGGCAUUGAAAUACAAUUUGGG